RNAcentral lists this unclassified non-coding RNA (406 nucleotides) under soil metagenome. Its description in RNAcentral is "partial contains 5.8S ribosomal RNA, internal transcribed spacer 2, and large subunit ribosomal RNA". The stretch from base 1 to 121 matches the Rfam family "5.8S ribosomal RNA", at positions 35 to 154 of the family's 154-position model. The record is from RNAcentral.
GAUGAAGAACGUAGCGAAAUGCGAUAAGUAAUGUGAAUUGCAGAAUUCAGUGAAUCAUCGAAUCUUUGAACGCACCUUGCGCCCUUUGGCUAUUCCGAAGGGCAUGCCUGUUUGAGUAUCAUGAACACCUCAACUCCUCAUGGCUUGCCAUGAUGAGCUUGGACUUGGGGGUCUUGCUGGCCUGUGGUCAGCUCCUCUCAAAUGAAUCAGCUUGCCAGUGAUUGGUGACACCACAGGUGUGAUAACUAUCUACGCUUGUGGUUUUCCAUCAAGUCACCUUCAGCGAUGGAGGUUCGCUGGGGCUCAUAAAGAAGGCCUCUCCUCGGUGAGGAUGGCUCCUUUGAACGUUUGAUCUCAAAUCAGGUAGGACUACCCGCUGAACUUAAGCAUAUCAAUAAGCGGAGGA